UGGAUGACGGUACCGGAAGAAGAAGCACGGGCUAACUACGUGCCAGCAGCCGCGGUAAUACGUAGGGUGCGAGCGUUAAUCGGAAUUACUGGGCGUAAAGCGUGCGCAGGCGGUUUCGUAAGACAGAUGUGAAAUCCCCGGGCUUAACCUGGGAACUGCGUUUGUGACUGCGAGACUUGAGUGCGGCAGAGGGGGGUGGAAUUCCACGUGUAGCAGUGANAAUGCGUAGAGAUGUGGAGGNAACACCGAUGGCGAAGGCAGCCCCCUGGGUCGACACUGACGCUCAUGCACGAAAGCGUGGGGAGCAAACAGGAUUAGAUACCCUGGUAGUCCACGCCCUAAACGAUNGCGAACUAGGUGUNUGGGGAAGGAGACUUUCUUUAGUACCGUAGCUAACGCGUGAAGUUCGCCGCCUGGGGAGUACGGUCGCAAGAUUAAAACUCAAAGGAAUUGACGGGGACCCGCACAAGCGGUGGAUGAUGUGGAUUAAUUCGAUGCAACGCGAAAAACCUUACCUACCCUUGACAUGCCCGGUACCCUGCUGAGAGGCGGGGGUGCCCGAAAGGGAAUCGGGACACAGGUGCUGCAUGGUCUGUCGUCAGCUCGNG
This 608-nucleotide ribosomal RNA is filed under the name uncultured beta proteobacterium. RNAcentral describes it as "bacterial SSU rRNA". It matches the Rfam family "Bacterial small subunit ribosomal RNA", at positions 466 to 1064 of the family's 1533-position model. The record is from RNAcentral. Lineage: Bacteria; Pseudomonadati; Pseudomonadota; Betaproteobacteria.